AGUGUGUGGUACUUAAAACAUGGGCUAACACAAAAGGAAGUGUUGCACAGCUCUCAUGUACUUGGCCCUGUAACAUGGCUGGGAGAAUGGGGACUGGUAUACCAGUAUCUUUCCUCACAUAAAGUGGCGGUGUAAACUGAUGAAAUGCCAGCCUCCCCUUCCACUUUGUCACUGAUUCAAACAUGGAGAGGAACAAAAACAUGCUGAAAGGAGUGUUAUUUACUUACGGACCUUGCAGUGCCGCCUGAACCUGCUACCCUGGGAAGUGGUUUGAGGAACUUCAGAGGGGAAAUGCCUGGCUGUCUGAGGUAGGACGGCCCCUGAACUGUGCUCCUCAAGCAGCCCUCUCGUGAGGUUGAUCCUGAAUUGCUGGGAAUCACUGGAGUGCCCUAUCACUAGUAAGGGGCCAGUAAGGACAUGACGACGGACCCAGAGAUCCCAAGUCCCUCGUAGUUGUGAAUGUCAGUGGUGGAUCCAGUGUAACCAGUGGUGUUUUCUCCAGCUGUUCUGCGGAAUAGUGGUUUGUUUCCUGAUCUCCUCAGCAUUAGACCUCUGUGGGAGAUGCAGGUGGGGUCUGACUUUGAGGUCCAGGAGGGGUAAAAUAGCUGAUUGUUUACAUUGGACACUGACGUCUGCAUUGCAGAGCAUGUCAACAUAAUAUUUGUUUCAUGUGAAUAAAACAUUACGUUUUUCUCAGUUAUUUUUGCUGCUGUCAUAUGAUUUGCGCUGUAAACUUGUAUUCUAAUACCUCUGUGUUUAUUUGAAUGCCCGUUACAUACAUUUAUUUUAUCAUGUGUUUGAAAAGACUAAGCAGCUUUGUCUAUUUUAGACAUAAAUGACAAGCACUUAGCCAGUCUCUCUCUCUCUCCAUAGCAGCAGCAGCACGACAGCAGGUUUGGUGAGUUUCUCAGUUUUUCUGCGAGUACACAAUGUAUGUAUAUGGACAGUAAACUUGUAUUCUGUGUUUGUUUGAAUGUUCAUAACAUAAAAUAAACAUAUUCUAUGGUUUAAAAAGACCGUUCUAGCAGCUGUUUUAGAUAUCUAAAUCACAAGUGCUUAGCCAGUCUCUUUCUAUGUAGCUGCUAAACAGUACAACAGCUUUUAUGGUGAGUUUCAGUUAGUUUUGUACAGUUAUACACUGUGUGGAUUAAGCAGUAAACGUGUAGUCUGGAUUGCCUGUGUAUGACCACUGCCUGGAAUAUAUAUACGUCACCUGACUUUAAUUUUGGAUUAUUCCUUUUAUUAUUUUGCUUAAACUUCUGCAAAUGGAUUCUAAUCUACCUCCAGUCUCCACUACGUUACACCUACAAACAGGUGAAAGUCCUGUAAAUAUAUCAGGAAUUUUUACGAUAAGACACCAUUAUUUCAUUUUUUUAUUAUUACUAAUGUUAAAUUUAUAUAGCACCUUACCAGAGUUAGCACAGCUUAAAGAGGAAAAAAAGACAGCAUGUUUCAGUUUCUUUUUACAUGAGGAAUAUUCCUAAUAGAUAAAUACUCUAUGAAGUAUUUAAAUCUUUAUUCCGAAAAAAGUUAAAAUGCCCCAUAAAGUCUUAACCAGAUAUGGACAUAAAUGUGGUCAACUUUAAAAAUCGGAUAGAUUGGCUCCGACGUGAAAUAAUCACUUCAGGUCAGGAAUUUAACGUCGCACUCCGGUUUAGGCUAUAAAUGAAUACAUGGGAAUCUCGUGUGAUACAUUAACAGACAUUUCAAGAAGUGGAAAGUGUAUAUGAUGUUGUAUCUUAAUGUUACACUUGAUAAGCUCCAGACGCGCACAAUUAACGGACCGUAAAUGGAGUCGAGGCCAUGCCCAUCCAAUUUGAAAUCACAACGAGCGCGUUUACAUUUUAGAAAUAUUGGCUGCACAGAUUCAUGAAUUCUGUGUAAUUUUGUAUGUUUAUUUAAAAUGUCGCUUUAUCUUUGCCUCUUGGAUAAUCAGUCAUACGAGAAAUAUAAUUAUUCCGAUGAAUCCAUUAUUUUGGAAUCCAUUUUGGAGUCAUUAUUCAAGCCUUUCCGAAUAAGAUAUUCGGCUUCGGGCACAUCCCUAGUUGUCACGGUACCAAAUUUCAGUAGUCUGUACCGAUACCAGUGAAAUUUCACGGUUCUCGAUACCAAUUUCAGUAACCCAGCAUAAAUAUACUAAUAUGACAAUGUGCUAUUGAACACAGCUGUUUAGCCUAUUUAAAAAGUUACAUUGCAAUGUAAAUAAUAAAUUAAAAGAAAUGCAUUUUUUCUUCAAGUGUUUCUCAAUCAAGGAUGCAUUGCUUAAGUGUUUAA
Molecule: long non-coding RNA, 2274 nt
Organism: Myxocyprinus asiaticus (Chinese sucker)
Lineage: Eukaryota; Metazoa; Chordata; Actinopteri; Cypriniformes; Catostomidae
Exons: 5
Source: RefSeq, a predicted model, not a curated record